CCAAUAGCGUAUAUUAAAGUUGUUGCAGUUAAAAAGCUCGUAGUUGAAUUUCGGGGUUUAUCCGUCGGUCGGGCUUUUGGGUCUGUACUGGCGUGAUGGAUUCCUACCUUCUGAAUAACCGGCAUGUCAUUAAUUUGGUGCGCCGGGGAAGCAGGACUGUUACCUUGAAAAAAUUAGAGUGCUUAAAGCAGGCUAUUGCCUGAAUACAUUAGCAUGGAAUAAUGAAAUAGGACGGCAUGGUUCUAUUUUGUUGGUUUCUAGGAUCACCGUAAUGAUUAAUAGGGAUAGUUGGGGGCAUUAGUAUUCAAUUGUCAGAGGUGAAAUUCUUGGAUUUAUUGAAGACUAACUUCUGCGAAAGCAUUUGCCAAGGAUGUUUUCAUUAAUCAAGCACGAAAGUUAGGGGAUCGAAGACGAUCAGAUACCGUCGUAGUCUUAACCAUAAACUAUGCCGACUAGGGAUCGGACGAUGUUAAUUUUUUAAUGACUCGUUCGGCGCCUUACG
RNAcentral lists this ribosomal RNA (502 nucleotides) under uncultured Glomeromycotina. RNAcentral's name for it is "partial small subunit ribosomal RNA". It matches the Rfam family "Eukaryotic small subunit ribosomal RNA", at positions 591 to 1092 of the family's 1831-position model. The record is from RNAcentral. Lineage: Eukaryota; Fungi; Glomeromycota.